RNAcentral lists this ribosomal RNA (425 nucleotides) under uncultured bacterium. Its description in RNAcentral is "partial 16S ribosomal RNA". It matches the Rfam family "Bacterial small subunit ribosomal RNA", at positions 354 to 796 of the family's 1533-position model. The record is from RNAcentral.
GUGGGGAAUAUUGCACAAUGGGGGAAACCCUGAUGCAGCGACGCCGCGUGAGUGAAGAAGUAUUUCGGUAUGUAAAGCUCUAUCAGCAGGGAAGAGAAUGACGGUACCUGACUAAGAAGCCCCGGCUAACUACGUGCCAGCAGCCGCGGUAAUACGUAGGGGGCAAGCGUUAUCCGGAUUUACUGGGUGUAAAGGGAGCGUAGACGGCUUAGCAAGUCUGAAGUGAAAGCCCGGGGCUCAACCCCGGGACUGCUUUGGAAACUGUUAAGCUGGAGUGCUGGAGAGGUAAGCGGAAUUCCUAGUGUAGCGGUGAAAUGCGUAGAUAUUAGGAGGAACACCAGUGGCGAAGGCGGCUUACUGGACAGUAACUGACGUUGAGGCUCGAAAGCGUGGGGAGCAAACAGGAUUAGAUACCCCAGUAGUCC